RNAcentral lists this ribosomal RNA (254 nucleotides) under uncultured bacterium. Its description in RNAcentral is "partial 16S ribosomal RNA". It matches the Rfam family "Bacterial small subunit ribosomal RNA", at positions 524 to 776 of the family's 1533-position model. The record is from RNAcentral.
UACGAAGGGGGCAAGCGUUGUUCGGAAUGACUGGGCGUAAAGGGCGCGUAGGCGGUCCGUUGCGUCGGGCGUGAAAGCCCCGGGCUCAACCCGGGAAUGGCGUUCGAUACGGGCGGGCUUUGAGUCCGGAAGAGGGUGGUGGAAUUCCCAGUGUAGAGGUGAAAUUCGUAGAUAUUGGGAAGAACACCGGUGGCGAAGGCGGCCACCUGGUCCGGCACUGACGCUGAGGCGCGAAAGCGUGGGGAGCAAACAGG